This 214-nucleotide long non-coding RNA is filed under the name Bemisia tabaci. Its description in RNAcentral is "lncRNA ENSASIAIIG002506". The record is from RNAcentral. Lineage: Eukaryota; Metazoa; Arthropoda; Insecta; Hemiptera; Aleyrodidae.
UCCCCAUCACUAUAUUGGUUUAUUACUGUUUCGGAGUGCUCCUUAUUGAUAUCGUUUUUUGUGCGGAAUAGGUCACCAACCGUAUGACGUGCAUUCAUAAUUGAUUUGUGACUGCCACAAAAUGAGUUGACUUUGGAAAGUCAUUGACCAAGAUGAGAAGGGGAGACCUCAACGCAGUCGUUGAUAAAGUCCAGGUUCGAAGCGGGUUGUUUUG